CAGCAGCCACGGUAACACGAAGGGGGCUAGCGUUGCUCGGAAUGACUGGGCGUAAAGGGCGCGUAGGCGGCGAUCAAAGUCAGGCGUGAAAUUCCUGGGCUCAACCUGGGGGCUGCGCUUGAUACUUGGUUGCUUGAGUGGGGAAGAGGGUCGUGGAAUUCCCAGUGUAGAGGUGAAAUUCGUAGAUAUUGGGAAGAACACCGGUGGCGAAGGCGGCGACCUGGUCCUUGACUGACGCUGAGGCGCGAAAGCGUGGGGAGCAAGCAGGAUUAGAUACCCCUGUAGUCCCUGUCUCUUAUAC
RNAcentral lists this ribosomal RNA (301 nucleotides) under uncultured bacterium. RNAcentral describes it as "partial 16S ribosomal RNA". It matches the Rfam family "Bacterial small subunit ribosomal RNA", at positions 509 to 807 of the family's 1533-position model. The record is from RNAcentral.